This 392-nucleotide ribosomal RNA is filed under the name uncultured bacterium. RNAcentral's name for it is "partial 16S ribosomal RNA". It matches the Rfam family "Bacterial small subunit ribosomal RNA", at positions 523 to 918 of the family's 1533-position model. The record is from RNAcentral.
AUACGGAGGAUCCGAGCGUUAUCCGGAUUUAUUGGGUUUAAAGGGUGCGCAGGCGGCCAUUUAAGUCAGCGGUUAAAUCGUGGGGCUCAACCCCAUUCUGCCGUUGAUACUGGGUGGCUUUAUUGCGGUCGCGGUUUGCGGAAUUCGCUGGUGAGAGGUGAAAUGCAUAGAUAUGACGAAGAACACCGAUUGCGUAGGCUGCUGACCAGACCGCAAAUGACGCUCAUGCACGAAAGUGCGGGGAUCGAACAGGAUUAGAUACCCUGGUAGUCCGCACAGUAAACGAUGAAUACUUGUUUUCGGCGAUAUAAUGUCGGAGGCAAAGCGAAAGCGAUAAGUAUUCCGCCUGGGGAGUACGCCGGCAACGGUGAAACUCAAAUGAAUUGACGGGG